Non-coding RNA from Potamilus streckersoni, 75 nucleotides. Lineage: Eukaryota; Metazoa; Mollusca; Bivalvia; Unionida; Unionidae. The record is from the annotation of a GenBank genome assembly.
UCUCUGGUGGCUUGAAUGGUUAGAGCGCCCGUCUUGGAUGCGGGAGGUCGCCGGUUCAAACCCUGGCCGAAUAAU